RNAcentral lists this microRNA precursor (122 nucleotides) under Phaseolus vulgaris (common bean). Its description in RNAcentral is "pre miRNA MIR394". It matches the Rfam family "MIR394 microRNA precursor family". The record is from Rfam by way of RNAcentral. Lineage: Eukaryota; Viridiplantae; Streptophyta; Magnoliopsida; Fabales; Fabaceae.
CUUACAGAGUUUCUUGGCAUUCUGUCCACCUCCACUUCCAUUAAUGGAUCUCUCUUUCUCCUACUCUUUUUCUAUACCAUCACUACGCGGAGGUGGACAUGCUGCCAAUAGAGCUCUGUUGG